CGGGGCUUCUUCUUGGCUCUUCAGUUGUCACACUUGCCUCAGCUGUGCCAUUUCUCCUGGCGACAUAGAAGAUAAUACCUGCUUUGUUGAUGAAGACUUUAAUAUCCUGUCUCCUCAAAAAUGACAAAACUUUGUCCAGAGAAAGACAAAGAACAACAUUUUAGGAAAUUUACACCAUUUGAUUUAUUUCCAGCCUUAAGACCCACAAAGGGCCAUAAAGAGCCAGGUGGCUUUACUCUGAGCAAUAAGUUUUACCUCAGAAUAUGUUUUUCCUGUCAUCUGGAGAACUUCUUUUCACUUUAUUCAUGUACGUUUCCCUAUUAUUUCAGGAAUUUCUUUAUCGAACCUUUACCUCAUAAAAGCCUUGUGAAAUAGAAAGAAGAAAAUGCCAAUUUUAUUUAUUAAGAGAUUGUCAUUUCAAACUUUACCUCAGAAAUGGCCAAGCCUUGUGAAACGGAAGGGAAAAACAAAGGCAAAACUUUUGAAAAUUAGCACAGCUUAUUCUGAAGGGACGAGAUAAAUAGUGUUGCGUUUGAUUUAUUAUAAUCUGGUUUAUUUCUUGCCAAAGACCCUCAUGGAGCCAGAAGAGCCACAUUUCUUUCAGCCACAACUUUUACCUCAAGCAAUCCAGAUCUUUUCACUUUAUUUGUGUCUGUUUCCUGAUUAUUUUAGUAAUUUCUUUCUUUACCUCAAACUUUUACCUCAGAAACGGCAAAGCCUCGUGAAAUAUAAAACAAUUUCUAUUUUAGAAUUUUCUUUAUCGAACCUUUACCUCAGAAAAGCCUUGUGAAAUAGAAAGAAGAAAAUGCCAAUUUUAUUUAUUAAGAGAUUGUCAUCUCAGACUUUACCUCAGAAAUGGCCAAGCCUUGUGAAACGGAAGGGAGAAACAAAGGCAAAACUUUUGAAAAUUAGCACAGCUUUUUCUGCAGGGACCAGCCUUAAGACCCAUAACAUGCUAUGCUGAAAAUUAUAUAUAUAUAUAUAUACACAAAAGGUCGAAGAGACAGAAGACAGAAGAUGCUUGAAGACACUCUCGCAAGGACACCGCCCGCCCCCCCAAAAAGGUCAUUGUCAGGGUAAUGGGUGUCAGGCUAGGCAUUUAAUGUCUAUCUUUGCAAUAAAAAACAGGCUACCUGUGUGCUAGGCUUUUGCAUGAAGAACACGGUUCCCCUCGUGUGUGGCAUCGAAGUUUCCCACUCGGGAACGGACGGGUCCUCCCUUUGUUCUAGGCAGAUGAUGGGGGUUUUCCUAUACAAGCCGUAGGGGCCACAGCUUGGGGGGCAGCGGGGGGCCCGGCCCUGGCACCGCGGGGAGCAGCACACCUUACGGGCAUUUUAAAAGCUCCCUUAAACUUAGACAGUGGCUAGAAAUAAAAAUAUUAAUACCUUAACUCACCUACUAACCCUACUAACACCAUUCUAACUAGGGCAGCCUGGCCUUUUAAAUAGGACUGUGUUUUGCCUGCUGGCAAGAACCAAGCUGGGAGGGAAGGGGGCCUCCUGGCCCCCCAUAGAAGGGCUCCCCUAGAAGGACAUUCAAAAUGCCCGCAAGGUGUCCUGAGAGCAGCCCCUGGGGCCCUCAGUGUGCCCCCCACGGUGCCAGGGCUGGGCCCCCCGCUCUCCCCCAACCCAUGACCCCUGCCGCCUGUAUAUCGUCCGCCCAGGGCCAACGGACGCCCCCUCCCUCCCCGGGCGGAGCUUCGGCGCCACACACAAGGGGAGGCCAGCCGUGGCCGCCAGAACAUGGAGAACCUGGUUUUUGACUGCAAACAUAGGCAUGUAGGGACCCCCUUUUAUUUAUGUAAGGCCACCCACCCAGGGGACCUCUGUUCCUAAUUAAAGCCUGGUUAAAGGGGAUCCUCUAUUCUUAAAGUAAGGCCUAUAGAGAUCUCCUAUCCAGAAACUAAGGCGGCUUGGCCUAUAGAGAUCCCCUUUUGUUAAACUAAGGUGGCCUGGCCUAUAGAGAUCUCCUAUCCAGAAACUAAGGCGGCCUGGCCUAUAGAGAUCCCCUUUUGUUAAACUAAGGUGGCCUGGCCUAUAGAGAUCUCCUAUCCAGAAACUAAGGCGGCCUGGCCUAUAGAGAUCCCCUUUUGUUAAACUAAGGUGGCCUGGCCUAUAGAGAUCUCCUUUUGUUAAACUAAGGUGGCCUGGCCUAUAGAGAUCUCUUGUUCUUAAACUAAGGUGGCCUGGCCUAUAGGGAUCUCCUUUUGUUAAACUAAGGUGGCCUGGCCUAUAGAGAUCUCUUGUUGUUAAACUAAGGUGGCCUGGCCUAUAGAGAUCUCCUUUUGUUAAACUAAGGUGGCCUGGCCUAUAGAGAUCCCCUUUUGUUAAACUAAGGUGGCCUGGCCUAUAGAGAUCUCCUUUUGUUAAACUAAGGUGGCCUGGCCUAUAGAGAUCUCUUGUUCUUAAACUAAGGUGGCCUGGCCUAUAGGGAUCUCCUUUUGUUAAACUAAGGUGGCCUGGCCUAUAGAGAUCUCUUGUUGUUAAACUAAGGUGGCCUGGCCUAUAGAGAUCUCCUUUUGUUAAACUAAGGUGGCCUGGCCUAUAGAGAUCUCUUGUUGUUAAACUAAGGUGGCCUGGCCUAUAGAGAUCUCCUUUUGUUAAACUAAGGUGGCCUGGCCUAUAGAGAUCCCCUUUUGUUAAACUAAGGUGGCCUGGCCUAUAGAGAUCUCCUAUUCUUUAAGGUAAUGCCAGGCGAUGUGGAGAUCCCUGGUUCUUUUAACCCUUAAGGCCAACCGUGGGGAGAUCCCUGGUUCUUUUAACCCUGAAGGCCAACCGUGGGGAGAUCCCUGGUUCUUUUAACCCUUAAGGCCAACCGUGGGGAGAUCCCUGGUUCUUUUAGCCCUUAAGGCCUGCCUGGGGAGAUACCCUAUUCUUUUUUCAUGAAAAGUCAGGUAUAGACCUUCUCUUUUCUCUCCCGUUUCAUGUGCCUGGACUCCCGGAGGGCUCCUGCCGGACACCGUCUCCCAUCGGCCGAGAGGGAUCCUUCCUGUUUGGAAAGCAUCUGCUACACAGGUAAGAAGAAGAUUCCGGGAAGGAGAUUCCUACAGCGGAGCCCUAAAGCCAGGUGAGACGUUCCUUCCAACCUCCACGGCUGCUUUGCACACACACACAUGACACACACACACACGCAUAUACAGCUGGGGGCCCUCAGGGACUCUCCCCCCAAUAGAUCGGGGACUCCCACUCCGGCAAUUGGCCAUUGUAAAUGCCUUGAAGCAGUUUGGGGCUUCCGGCCAAGCGCUCGCAAAGAGAACCCAUUCAAGGUAUACGUGGAGCCCCUUUUAUUUAUUAUUUAUUGACAGCAUUUCUAUUCCGCCCUUCUUUCUCACCCCAAAGGGGACUCAGGGCGGAUCACAUGACACAUAUAGGCAAACAUUCAGUGCCUUUUAACAUAGAACAAAGACAAACAAACAUAAGCUCCGAGCGGGUCUCGAACUCAUGACCUCCUGGUCAGAGUGAUUCAUUGCAGUUAUAAUUGCAGCUGGCUUGCUCUCCCGCCUGCGCCACAGCCCGGGCCAACCUUGAUAAAAAGGGCCUGGCACGUGGAAAACUCUAUUUGUAAGGCAAACCCUCGUUAAAGGAGGUUUGCAAUUAAUUUAAAACCAGGCUUCUGAGGGACCCGCUGCGUUUAAAGCCAAACCUAGCAGGUGGGAACCUCUCUUGUUGGAUAAAGGAGAUCCCCUCUGGUUAACGUAAGGGGAGGGACCCUCCAUUUUUAAUAGGAUGCCUGGCAGAAUCUUAACCUCAAUGCAGGCCUAUGGGGUCCAGCCUUAUUCUCAAUGACUGCAUAGCCAGGCAUGAAGGGACCCCAUAUUAUUAAUUUGAAGCCUGGUAAAAAGAGAUUUAUGUAUUUAUUUAUUUACUACAUUUAUACCCCGCCCUCUUUUCCCUUAAAGGGGACUCAGAGCGGCUUACAAGUUAUAUUUACAUACACUAUCUCAUUAGCAUAGCACAAUAUUAGCAUUAUAUAUUACUACAUUGCACUAUACCACUAUAUAGAAAUAUUGUUACCAAUAUUACAUUUAAAAUAUAAUAUGUAAUUAAUAUUAUUGUAUCAUUGUUAGUAUUAUAUUGCUUUAUUUCUUUAUUUCUUUAUUUAUUUAUUAGAUUUAUAUGCUGCCCUUCUCACCCCGAAGGGAACACAGAACGGCUUAAAAAUUAAAUUUACAUACAAUAUUAUAUUAUUAGCAUAGUACAAUACUGGCAAUAAAUUACUAUAUUGUACUAUAUCAAUAUAUGGUAGUAUUAUUAGUAAUAUUACAUGCAAAAUAUAAUAUAUAAUUAAUAUUAUUAUAUUGUAUUAUUAGUAUAUCGUAUUACAAUAUAAUAUUAUGAAUAUAUGUAUAUACAAUAUGUUGUAAUUAUUAUAUAUUAAAUUAUUUAUAUAUAUAUAUAUAUAUAUAUAUAUAUAUAUAUAUAUAUAUACACACACACACAGUAGAGUCUCAUUUAUCCAACAUAAACGGGCCAGCAGAAUGUUGGAUAAGCGAAUAUGUUGGAUAAUAAGGAGGGAUUAAGGAAAAGCCUAUUAAACAUCAAAUUAGUUUAUGAUUUUACAAAUUAAGCACCAAAUCAUCAUGUUAUACAACAAAUUUGACAGAAAAAGUAGUUCAAUAUGCAGUAAUGCUAUGUAGUAAUUACUGUAUUUAUGAAUUUAGUACCAAAAUAUCAUGAUGUCUUGAAAACAUUGUCUACAAAAAUGCGUUGGAUAAUCCAGAAUGUUGGAUAAGCGAGUGUUGGAUAAGUGAGACUCUACUGUAUAUAAAAAUUAGAAUAGCAUGUUAUUAGGGGAGGAGCAUCUUAAUUAUUAGAUGUCAGUAUUAGUCAUUAGAUGUUAAUAUUAGUUAUUCAUAUUAGUAUCAAUAUUACAUUAAUAUACAAUAGAGCAGGGGUCCCCAAACUAAGGCCCGUGUGCGGGAUGCGGCCCAUCGAAGCCAUUUAUCCGGCCCCCACAGCACAACCCUUAUUAUUAUUAUUAUUAUUAUUAUUAUUAUUAUUAUUAUUAUUAUUAUUAUUAUUAGCAUUGAGGCUGGGUGGCCAUCUGUCAGGGGUGCUUUGCUUGUGCUUUCGGUGCACAAAGGCAGAAAGGGAUUGGACUCAAUGGCCAACCCUUCCAACCCUCAUUAUUAUUAUUAUUAUUAUUAUUAUUAUUAUUAAUUAUUAUUAUUGCUUGGUGGCCAACUAUAGUCUGGCCCUGCAAUGGUCUGAAGGAUCGUGAACUGGCUCCCUGUUUAAAAGGUUUGGGGACCCCUGCAAUAGAGUAUAUUAUUAUCCUAGCACAAUGUUAUUAUGUUAUAUAGUAGUAUGUAUGUUCAUAUUAUUUAUUCAUAUUAGUAUCAAUAUGACAUUAAUAUACAAUAGAGUCUAUUAUUAUCCUAGCACAAUAUUAGUAUGUUAUAUAGUAGUAUGUUGUUGCUAGGGGGAGGGGCCCCCCACUGAUGGAGAGGGCCCCCCCACUGAGAUCCCCUGUCAUUAAUGUUAGACCAGGCAUUUAACGCCUACCUUUGCAUUCAAGAGCAGGCUCCUAGGCCUUUGCAUUCAAGAGCAGUGCGCUAGGCCUUUGCGCAAGGAACACCACCCACGGCUCCCCUUGUGCGUGGCGUUGAGGCCCCACUCGGUGACGGACGGGUCCUCCCUUUGCCCUGGGCAGGUCGUGGGGGGGGGUCUCCCUGCACAGGCAGGGGGUCACGGCUGGGGGGAGAGCGGGGGCCCGGCCUUGGCACCCCCCUGGGGACCCGAGGGGCCGCUCUCAGCCCACGUCACGGGCAUUUUAAAACGUCCCCGGGAUAUGUAGUAGCUCAGAUUAAUCCCUGCACUAACCGCUAACCCUACUAACCCAGUUCUAACCAGGGCAGGCUAGGCUUUUAAAUAGGACUGUUUUUGCCUGUUGGCAAGAACCAAGUGGGAGGGGGCCUCCGGGCCUCCCGUGGGAAGAAGGGCUCCGGCCCCCCCGGCCCCCCGGCCCCUGCCCUGUGCUGGGAGCCCCCCGCCCGGGCCCCCAGAGGCCUCCCUGUGGUACCGGGCUUGGCCCCCGCUCUGCCCCCAUCCGACGGCAUAGGAAAGCCCCCCACCAUCCGCCCAGGGCCAACGGACGGCCCUCCCUCCCAGGGGCAGCCGCGUUCCUCACGCAAAGGUCUGGCGCACGGGAGCCUGUUUCUGAAUGCAAACGUGGGGCCCAGGACCCCCCCCCCUUGUCUCCGUGCAGGGCCACCCCCCCAGGGACCCCCACAAAUGCCUGGUGACAGGGGAUCCUCUCCUCUUAGCAGGAGGAAAAGCCACGUGCGUAAAGCGGUGGCUUUGCUCCCGUCGUUCCCAAGAGCCCCCCAAAAGCGAGAUGCUCCCCUGGGUUCAGCCCUCCUGACCCCUCUUUUCUCCCUUGUUCCAUGUCUCCAAAAUCCCCGAGGGAGGGGCUCCUCCUGGACAAGAGCCAAGGACGGACGGACGGAGAUCCCAGAGAGAGAGCGGAGAGCAGGACGCCUUGCCUUUUCGGAGCUGCUGAGGUCGACCCCUUUCCAACGAUGUCAGCUUUCAAGAAUAAAACUCUUCCCAAAAAAGUGUGUUCUGGUUAUUAUUCAAAGGCACAACGUUCAAUAUUUGACAGCAUUAAACAUCUAGAUUACAGGACAGUUUAUGUUACUGCAUUUUAUACACCUGACCUUGUUUUUACAAAUAAAGUACCUGUAUAAUUUUUGCCUCUAUAUAUAUAUAUUGUACUAUGCUCAGACUCAUUGUUCUGAUAUGCUGUUAUAUGGUUUAAUUGUUUAUAUUGUUUAUAUUUUUAAUGUAUGAGUGUUUAUUACAUCUGUCAUUGGGCUUGUUUCCCAUGUGAGCCACCCCGAGUCCUCCUGGGGGAGAUGGGAGAGGGAAUAUAAAAAUAAAGUAUUAUUUUGUAUUAUUAUUAUUAUUUAUAAUAUUUAUUAUAUAUAAUUUUCUUGCACCCCAAGUACCUCUGGCAAGUGCCAAAGAGUAUUUAACUCUGCCUACAUGGCACUAAAGUGUAUUUAUAUGUUGAUUGUUCCUAUUGAUUUUAUGUUAUGUUUUUUUUGCUUUGUAUAAUAAGGCAUUGAAUUUUUGCCUUAAUAAUAAUAAUUUUAUGAAAGUUUUAAUGUCACUGAAUUUUAAAUUGGAUUGAAAUGUCAUUGUAAUUGUUUAUAUGUGUAUUUUCUAUUUGUAAGCCACCCUGAGUCUCCCCUUAUUGGGUGAGAAGGUUUGGGAAGAAAUACUGUCAUAAAUAAAUAAAUAUUCUGUGUCCA
Anolis carolinensis (green anole) is the source of this 7255-nucleotide long non-coding RNA. RefSeq lists it as uncharacterized. NCBI's taxonomy places the organism in Eukaryota, Metazoa, Chordata, Lepidosauria, Squamata, Anolidae. The transcript has 3 exons. The record is from RefSeq and is a predicted model, not a curated record.